This is a long non-coding RNA of Papaver somniferum (opium poppy), 1856 nucleotides long. RefSeq lists it as uncharacterized. Lineage: Eukaryota; Viridiplantae; Streptophyta; Magnoliopsida; Ranunculales; Papaveraceae. The transcript is spliced from 6 exons. The record is from RefSeq and is a predicted model, not a curated record.
GGUUGAAAAUUUAACUCAAAAUCGAGCUCCAAAAUUCCCCCCUCGUUUUCUAUCUACCGCUCCCAAAUUUUCACCAAAUUUUUUCGCUCCCUCUUACUUUUCGCUCCAAAUCACUUAAAGUUUUCGAAUCUUAAUUCCCCUUGAAUCUGUUCUAUAACAAAGGCCUCCAACAGAGAAUGAUUUUUACUCUCUCUGAUGAGUAGGGGUUCCUUCUGCAUCUCUCUCAGAUUCUUCCUCUCCUAUCUAUUCACAGCUACUCGCAUCUUCUCUUUCUGCUAGAGAUUGUUUAUUUGCCAAGGUUUCUUGGAUUGAGUUUGCUGGUUUUCAGAACUGGUGAUAGGUUUCUUAGUUUGCUAGUAAGGGGUGAUAUCUCUGUCAUAUGUUCAUUCAGAUGUACAUUGUUGUUGUUUUGUAAUUUUUUUGCGUUGAUCCUCAUGUUAUCUAUCAGAGGUUUCUUAUUCGUCUUGUCUAUUGUUGUAUUGCAGAUGGAAACAAUUGCAAUAUCUAACAGUACGCCUAACUAUAUUAACUUAUCAGACAACCAACACUUGGGUAAACGUUGUUUCUAUCCGUAGUUUAGUUGGCUUACCUUAAUGGCUAUAUUAUAAUGUGAAAACUUGCUAGCCACAAAUUAUAUUAAGGGAGUGUAGGAGUACACGUUUUGCAACUUAAUUAAGAGAAGGAUGAAGUUGGCAAAUUAUGUCGUUACUUAUUCAGUUGUUGGAUUAUUACACUUAAGACUGAAGUUUCAUGAUCAAGUCUCCCUCCAUUAUAUGGCGGAAGCAUAUAACAAAUAAUUACUGCCUCAAUCUUGUUUGUCGUUUCCCAUUUUUGGAAGAAUCUUCCACAUGAUGCGUACAAACUUCUUGCAGUGCCCUCUGAAAUUGGUGGAGUUCUUGUAAUUAGUGCAAAUUCCAUACACUAUCACAGUCAAAUAAGUUGUUACCUGGUUUGCUGGAGUUCAUUGAUUGUUUUGUUAGUGGCUGCAAGAAGUUUUACUUUGCCAGACCUACAUGUAUUUGUACAUGUCAGAUCAAUAUGUAAUUGUUUUACAUUUUUUUUUCCUGCUUGUAGUUGACGUCUUGUGCCAUUGCCUUGAACCAUUUUGUUGUUCCUGCUGAUAUAAGUCAAUAAUUGCCUUGAUCAAGUUUUUGUGUGGAGCUUGAUGCAACCAACACGACAUGGUUAUUGCCUGAGGUGGCCAUGUUUUCGAUCAAAACAGGAGAACUACUAUUGCUCACAUUGGUUUCCGUUGGACGGAUUCUGCAAAGGCUGGAACUUUCAAAAUUUUGAGCUUCAGUUUUGACUCCGGGUAUUGCAACAAUUGGCAGCUCGUUCUUCUUCCUAGGUUGUCGUUUGGGAGAUCGUAUGCUUGUCCAAUAUACAUCUGGUGUGGGAACUGCAGCUUUGACUUCUGAUCAUGUGAAGGAAGAGGAUUAUAUUGAGAAAACAUGGGAGAGACAGUUUUAUCAUGAAGACACGCACUACAGCACAUAAGUGAUGAUAAUGGCGAAAGACUUGGCAGAAUUUAUGUUCAUAAGCGAUGAAGUUGCUGGAAGAUAAGAACGAGGCAGAAAAGCGAAGCCUUAAAGCAAAGUUGGAUGCGAAAAGACAAGAACUAGCACUGGAGAUUGCGUGAUUCAAGAAAUUAUAGAUGCAAGUGCCAUGUUGUGCGAUAGAGGUGAUGUACAUGGAGAUGUUUCAAGAGGUGAGAUGAUUAAGUGGCCAAAAGCUUAUGUAACUCUUGUAGAAGAGUGACCAAAUCCGUGUUGGUGAAGUGAUGGUAGAUUGAAUUCAGUUUUAGCUAGAAUUUAUCUUGCAAUUUGCAUUCGGAGAUUUGAUUUCUAGAAUGUUAU